GUGGGCGUAGCUCAAUGGCGGAGCACUGGACUGUGGCUCCAGGGGUUGUGGGUUCGAGUCCCAUCGCCCACCCCA
This 75-nucleotide transfer RNA is filed under the name Nitrospiraceae bacterium. RNAcentral's name for it is "tRNA-His". It matches the Rfam family "tRNA". Rfam says of the family: Transfer RNA (tRNA) molecules are approximately 80 nucleotides in length. Lineage: Bacteria; Pseudomonadati; Nitrospirota; Nitrospiria; Nitrospirales; Nitrospiraceae. The record is from RNAcentral.